This 1031-nucleotide ribosomal RNA is filed under the name Cellulosimicrobium sp. Its description in RNAcentral is "bacterial SSU rRNA". It matches the Rfam family "Bacterial small subunit ribosomal RNA", at positions 393 to 1434 of the family's 1533-position model. The record is from RNAcentral. Lineage: Bacteria; Bacillati; Actinomycetota; Actinomycetes; Micrococcales; Promicromonosporaceae.
GACGCCGCGUGAGGGAUGAAGGCCUUCGGGUUGUAAACCUCUUUCAGCAGGGAAGAAGCGCAAGUGACGGUACCUGCAGAAGAAGCGCCGGCUAACUACGUGCCAGCAGCCGCGGUAAUACGUAGGGCGCAAGCGUUGUCCGGAAUUAUUGGGCGUAAAGAGCUCGUAGGCGGUUUGUCGCGUCUGGUGUGAAAACUCGAGGCUCAACCUCGAGCUUGCAUCGGGUACGGGCAGACUAGAGUGCGGUAGGGGAGACUGGAAUUCCUGGUGUAGCGGUGGAAUGCGCAGAUAUCAGGAGGAACACCGAUGGCGAAGGCAGGUCUCUGGGCCGCAACUGACGCUGAGGAGCGAAAGCAUGGGGAGCGAACAGGAUUAGAUACCCUGGUAGUCCAUGCCGUAAACGUUGGGCACUAGGUGUGGGGCUCAUUCCACGAGUUCCGUGCCGCAGCAAACGCAUUAAGUGCCCCGCCUGGGGAGUACGGCCGCAAGGCUAAAACUCAAAGGAAUUGACGGGGGCCCGCACAAGCGGCGGAGCAUGCGGAUUAAUUCGAUGCAACGCGAAGAACCUUACCAAGGCUUGACAUGCACGAGAAGCCACCAGAGAUGGUGGUCUCUUUGGACACUCGUGCACAGGUGGUGCAUGGUUGUCGUCAGCUCGUGUCGUGAGAUGUUGGGUUAAGUCCCGCAACGAGCGCAACCCUCGUCCCAUGUUGCCAGCGGGUUAUGCCGGGGACUCAUGGGAGACUGCCGGGGUCAACUCGGAGGAAGGUGGGGAUGACGUCAAAUCAUCAUGCCCCUUAUGUCUUGGGCUUCACGCAUGCUACAAUGGCCGGUACAAAGGGCUGCGAUACCGUAAGGUGGAGCGAAUCCCAAAAAGCCGGUCUCAGUUCGGAUUGGGGUCUGCAACUCGACCCCAUGAAGUCGGAGUCGCUAGUAAUCGCAGAUCAGCAACGCUGCGGUGAAUACGUUCCCGGGCCUUGUACACACCGCCCGUCAAGUCACGAAAGUCGGUAACACCCGAAGCCCAUGGC